UUAUUGAAACAGGGGUGCUCCACGCGUUGUGGGGCUGAGAAAUACCCUCGAACCCGAUCCGGAUAAUACCGGCGUGGGAAGCUUUCUCCGACCGAGC
This 97-nucleotide non-coding RNA is filed under the name Candidatus Sulfuritelmatomonas gaucii. RNAcentral describes it as "Candidatus Sulfotelmatomonas gaucii TPP". It matches the Rfam family "TPP riboswitch aptamer (THI element)". From Rfam's summary of the family: Vitamin B(1) in its active form thiamin pyrophosphate (TPP) is an essential coenzyme that is synthesised by coupling of pyrimidine and thiazole moieties in bacteria. The previously detected thiamin-regulatory element, thi box was extended, resulting in a new, highly conserved RNA secondary structure, the THI element, which is widely distributed in eubacteria and also occurs in some archaea. Analysis of operon structures identified a large number of new candidate thiamin-regulated genes, mostly transporters, in various prokaryotic organisms. Lineage: Bacteria; Pseudomonadati; Acidobacteriota; Terriglobia; Terriglobales; Acidobacteriaceae. The record is from RNAcentral.